This 755-nucleotide long non-coding RNA is filed under the name Pan troglodytes (chimpanzee). RNAcentral's name for it is "long non-coding RNA NONPTRT007622". Lineage: Eukaryota; Metazoa; Chordata; Mammalia; Primates; Hominidae. The record is from RNAcentral.
UGAGAGGCGUAAACAGAUGUUCCUGGAUUGAGAGAUGUAAAUACAUCGCUUCUCGGCCUUUUGGCUAAGAUCAAGUGUAGAGAGGCGUAAAUAGAUGUUCCUGGAUUGAGAGACAUAAACAGAUAUUCCUGGAUUCGGAGGCAUAAACAGAUGUUCAUGGAUUGAGAGGCGUAAACCCAUAUUCCUGGAUUGAGAGGCGUAAGCAGAUGUUUAUGGUUUGAGAGGCGUAAACAGAUGUUCCUGGAUUGAGAGGCGUAAACCCAUAUUCCUGGAUUGGGAGGCGUAAACAGAUGUUCAUGGAUUGAGAGGCAUAAACAGAUGUUCCUGGAUUGAGAGACGUAAACAGAUGUUCAUGGAAUGGGAGGCGUAAACAGAUGUUCCUGGAAUGGGAGGCGUAAACAGAUGUUCCUGGAAUGGGAGGCGUAAACAGAUGUUCCUGUAUCGAGAGGCGUAAACAUAUGUUCCUGGAUCGAGAGGCGUAAACAGAUGUUCCUGGAUUCGGAGGCAUAAACAGAUGUUCAUGGAUUGAGAGACGUAAACAGAUGUUCAUGGAUUCAGAGACGUAAACAGAUGUUCAUGGAUUGAGAGACGUAAACAGAUGUUCAUGGAUUGAGAGGCGUAAACCGAUGUUCCUGGAUUGAGAGACGUAAAUAGAUGUUCCUGGAUUCGGAGGCAUAAACAGAUGUUCAUGGAUUGAGAGACGUAAACAGAUGUUCAUGGAUUGAGAGGCGUAAACCGAUGUUCCUGGAUUGAGA